GUUCAGUAAAUUUUUUAUUGUUGUUGUUGCUGUUGUUGUUGUUGUUUUCAAUCUUUUGAACAAAUCCAAUGAAGAGUGUUAGCAAAAAGGUGUCCUUUUCCAGUCAUGCAUUGAAAUUAUAUGAAAUAAGAUCAAGAAUGCUCAGGUAUACAACAAUAUAGUGCUGAUUGUCUUUAUAUAAUGAAUUCCCUUUGUUUGUUGGGUAAUAUAUUAUAUACUGUACAUGUUUACUGUACAUACUAUUACAGUAAUUUGAUACUAUGAAGCAUAUCUUGAUCAUUUAUUGCAUUUAAACAAACAAAAAAAAAACGUUUACACUAUCUCCUCUUUACCUCAAACGUAGUGGAUCUCCAAGUCAUAUCGCACAUAAUUACACACUUUCUUCAAACCAGCUCCGGUUCCGUAUCUCUGUAUGGUUUCUGACCCCGUUUGAAACACUGUUAUUUAUAAAAAUGGGGAAGUGUACAUAACAUUUUUUCAUUACAAAUCUCACUAUCCAAUGUCACCCAAAAGAGAUUUUUUUUUUUCAGACUGGUCCUUUUUAGGUUAUUUCCUCAUGAAGUCACAGGAAUUUUACCUUGUCGCUGUAGCCUCUGUUUUGAUCAUUGGGGAUGUAAAUAUGUACAUCUGGAUUUUUGUAAAGCUGCUUUUUGACAGUGUCUCUCAUUAAAAGUGCUAUACAAAUAAAAUUAAAAUUAACUUAAGGCAAAAAAAAAUGUCUCUUGGAGCUGGUGUCACUUUGAACAAACAUCAGUGUCAUGUACUGUAGGAGUUUGAAGGGAGAAUUAAAUAUUAGUAGUGAUUCUGAUAAAGAAAAUGCCUCCAAUUUGAUUUAUGUAUAGAUUUGGUUGACUUAUUCUGUGAUUUUUGAAAAUUGUUUAUGUUCAAAUGACUUUUUGACUGAUGCAAAUAAUGUCUUUUAAGGCAUGUGUGUGAUGAUUUAUACAAGCAGCUAUACUGUAAGCUUAACUUACUUGUUAGCUAACAAGCCUAAUUAGCCUAAUUUCUCUUGCACAAAAUUAAAGAAAAAAACUUCAUACGCCAGACAUGUCUUAGCUGAACAAGUCUACAUUUCAUUUUAGCCAAAGUAUUUCACUUUUUUUAAUUUCACAAGUAAUUCUGCUUAUAAAUAAGCAACUUAUUUAUAAUUAAAAACAGAAAACAAAAAACAAAACAAAAACAUAUAUACAGUACUUAUAUAUGAUAUGGCUGUAGGUUUCAGUUCCUUUUCAGAUCACAUGUAUACUGGGGACCUGCUUGACCUUUGUUCCUUUACAUUCUCCAGAAAUGAAUUAGGUCUUCAUCUUCCAUAACUUUGGUUUAAAGAAUUUUGCCUUUUUCUGCAGAAUCAGUACAAGAAGAAACACAGGAUUAAUUCAGAAUUUCUGAUAACCACAUCAAUAACAUACUAAAUUGCAGAUCAUUUGAUAAUGAGGAAUUUACCUGUAAGAGUGUGCUUGUUAAGAGACGGAAAGUUUUAAACUUAAUAGUCUCUGGGAAUUCCCAGGGGUUUUUUUUUGUGUGUUUUUUUUUAUAUUUAGGAACUAAUAGUUUUUUCUUAUCCUGGUUGCCAGAUUGAUAAGAUCUAAAAUACUGACCUUCUCAUUACCAGGAACAGGUGUUUGGGAAUCUUUGGCAUCAUUGGACCUUGGUAAAUGAUUAAAUUCAGAGGAGGUAAAGACAGAAGGAUGUAAAGAAGGGCGAGACUGAACGGACUUUGAGGCACUGCGUGGGCGAAUAAUGUUUAUAGUGGAGAACUUCAUUUUGGCAUUUUCUGAAAUUACUUUUUCUUUUUCCUGGAGGUCGAUGUUUUCUUUUUUUGCUCAACUGGAUGCGAUUCUUCAGAGCAGAAUUGUCUAGCACUCCUGAUGACUUUGUAAAAGAGAGUAAGAAAUACUUAUAAUAGUGUAUUUACUAAAUUGUGAUACUACUAUAAUUUGUAUCUUCUUAUCAAAACCAUAUGACUAAUUAGUGGACACUUAGUAAAAUCAUACAUCUCAUAUAUGUAUUUCUUACACAAAACCUAUUUCCACAUCACAAAUAAUACUGGCAUCUUAUAUGCAAACGAAGAGACAUUACAACCCAACUUACUCCUCACCUUGACAACAGAGAAAUCAAGGGGCAAAUCCAUCAACUCUGCCUUGUUUGAUAGCUGAUCAAACACUUCUGCAUUGUCAUAAUCAUUGCCAUAGGAUUCUGGCAUUUCUGAUAUCCUUUGAAGUACUGCAGCAUUUCCUACUUGUGCCUUGGGAAACGGGGGGGGGGGGGGGGGGGUGUUUGUUUAGUUUUUUUUUUUUGUUUUUGUUUUUAUCAGUGAUGCAGUUGGUCCAGUUGAGCUCCUUUGCUCAGUAGAGAGAGUCAGACUGAUAAGAUCUGGAUGUACUCACCUUCUCAUUACCGAGUACAGCUGUAUGGGAAUCUUCGUGUGUCUGGGAGUUAUUGGAUUCUGAACAUGGUAAAGCAUAAAAUUUGGAGGAGGCAAAAACAGAAGCAUAUGAAGAAGUAGGGGAAUCAGAGGACUCUGAUGGCGAGGCACUGCGUUGGUGAAAAAAGCCCUUAAUGAAAUUUCCUAAAAUAUGCAGAGAGAAAGAACUUCGUUAGAUUCUUCCAUUUUUUCAAGCUCCAGUCACGUCCACACACACACACACACACACACACACACACACACACACACACACACACACACACACACACACACAUACCUGUUAAUGCAUUUCACUUCCACUUCUACUGUUCUACUGAUUUAUAGUUCUGAGUUUGUCACCUUUUUUACUCUUUCGUGGUAGUCGAUGUUUUCUUUUUUUGCUCAGUUGGAUUCGACUCUUCAGUGCAGAAUUGUCUAGUAAUCCAGAUGACUUUGUAAAAGACAAAGGGCGAUGUCUCUGUUAGAAUGUUGAAUUCCUUCUGAUAUUACAAUAAUUGUUCUUAUUUUUAAUUAUUUUUUUUUU
Ictalurus punctatus (channel catfish) is the source of this 2948-nucleotide long non-coding RNA. Lineage: Eukaryota; Metazoa; Chordata; Actinopteri; Siluriformes; Ictaluridae. The record is from Ensembl.